UAUGUACUCCUUCCGUCCGGAAAUACUUGUCGGAGAAAUGCAUAUAAAAAUGAAUGUAUCUAGAACUAAAAUACAUCUAAAUACAUCUAUUUCUCCGACGAGUAUUUCCGGAUGGAGGGAGUACCUA
This is a non-coding RNA of Triticum aestivum (bread wheat), 127 nucleotides long. The record is from Rfam. Lineage: Eukaryota; Viridiplantae; Streptophyta; Magnoliopsida; Poales; Poaceae.